AGAUACCCCGGUAGUCCUGGCAGUAAACGAUGAGCUCUAGGUGUGGGGGGUAUCGAGCCCCUCCGUGCCGCAGUUAACACAAUAAGUGCUCCGCAUGGGGAGUAUGGCCGCAAGGUUAAAACUCAAAGGAAUUGACGGGAGCCCGCACAAGCAGUGGAGCGUGUGGUUUAAUUCGAUGCGACGCGAAGAACCUUACGUGGGUUUGACAUGGGCUUGUUAGACUUGGAAACAGGUCCCCCUUCGGGCAAGUUCACAGAUGUUGCAUGGCUGUCGUCAGCUCGUGUCGUGAGAUGUUGGGUUAAGUCCCGCAACGAGCGCAACCCUCGUGGCUAGUUGCUUUAUCUAGCCAGACUGCCUACUAAAUAGGAGGAAGGUGGGGAUGACGUCAAGUCCGCAUGGCUCUUACAUCCAGGGCUACACACACGCUACAAUGACCGGUACAAAGCGCGGCAAGCAGACGACUGCAAGCGAAUCGCAAAAACCGGUCUCAGUUCGGAUUGCAGGCUGCAACCCGCCUGCAUGAAGUUGGAGUUGAUAUGUAACCGCGUGACAGCACAGUGCGGUGAAUAUGUUCCCGGGCCUUGUACACUCCGCCCGUCACGUCAUGGGAGUUGGUAACACCUGAACGUCAGUGGGCGGACCGCUCGCAAGAGUGGGGGUAGCGGCCGAGGGUGGGAUCGAUGACUGGGACGAAGUCGUAACAAGGUAUC
This 710-nucleotide ribosomal RNA is filed under the name uncultured bacterium. Its description in RNAcentral is "bacterial SSU rRNA". It matches the Rfam family "Bacterial small subunit ribosomal RNA", at positions 780 to 1500 of the family's 1533-position model. The record is from RNAcentral.